RNAcentral lists this ribosomal RNA (465 nucleotides) under uncultured bacterium. RNAcentral's name for it is "partial 16S ribosomal RNA". It matches the Rfam family "Bacterial small subunit ribosomal RNA", at positions 28 to 507 of the family's 1533-position model. The record is from RNAcentral.
GACGAACGCUGGCGGCGUGCUUAACACAUGCAAGUCGAACGGAAAGGCCCUGCUUUCAUGGUACUCGAGUGGCGAACGGGGGAGUAACACGUGGGUGAUCUGCCCUGCACUUCGGGAUAAGCCUGGGAAACUGGGGCUAAUACCGGAGAGGAGCGAUUCUGAGGGUGGUGGGUGGAAAGUUUUUUCGGUGUGGGAGGGGACCCCGGCCUUUCAGCUUGUUGGUGGGGUAAUGGCCUACCAAGGCGGCGACGGGGAGCCGGCCUGAGAGGGUGGACGGGCAAAUUGGGGCUGGGAUAACGGCCAGGCUCCCACGGGGGGGAGCAGUGGGGAAUAUUGGAAAAUGGGCGGAAGGCUGAUGCAGCGACGCCGCGUGGGGGAUGAAGGCCUUCGGGUUGUAAACUCCUUUCGCUCGGGACGAAGCUGUUUGUGACGGUACUUAGAUAAGAAGCACCGGCUAACUACGUG